Sciurus carolinensis (gray squirrel) is the source of this 586-nucleotide long non-coding RNA. RefSeq lists it as uncharacterized. NCBI's taxonomy places the organism in Eukaryota, Metazoa, Chordata, Mammalia, Rodentia, Sciuridae. The record is from RefSeq and is a predicted model, not a curated record. The transcript is spliced from 3 exons.
CUUAAAGUCACAUACUGUAGUUAUUCAAAGGCAUCUUGGUAAAAAUCUUGAAAGAUCUGUCCGACCGCGACAACUCAGCAAGACCCUAUCUCAAAAAUUUAAAAAGGAAUAGAGACAUAGUUCUCAUAGAGCACUCUCAAUUCCCAUCUCCUGAGUGAAAGCUGUGUAGAAUUUUUCUCAAAAGCAAUGAAACUGAAUUUAAGGAGUCCCAAUUCUUGAUCAACGUGUAAUACUUCCAUGGCAAAGCAGACUCCACUGUAAGGCAGAGCUCAAGACAAAAGGGUGGGAGGAGCUUCCGGCAAACAAGGGAGAGACUUGCUUUUGUUAGCAAAGAUGCAGGUUUAUAUUAGGCUCACACAAGGAAGUGGGGAGCACAGGAAGCACCUCAGCAGCCAUACAAGCCUCACAGCGGAAAAAUGUGGUUCACAACUGCUCAAGAUGAAAAGAGGUCUGACAGUGCCCUUGCUAUUGAAUCAAGGAAAAGAAAAGAUGCUGGGGAUGAAACAAAGGACUCACACAAGCUAGGCAAGCACUCUACCAAUGUUAACUUCUAUUACUGAAAAGUCAGAAUAUUCAUAAAUACACG